This 371-nucleotide unclassified non-coding RNA is filed under the name uncultured Gammaproteobacteria bacterium. RNAcentral's name for it is "contains 16S-23S intergenic spacer region". The record is from RNAcentral. Lineage: Bacteria; Pseudomonadati; Pseudomonadota; Gammaproteobacteria.
UCCGGUUUGUCACCGGCAGUCUCACUAGAGUGCCCUUUCGUAGCAACUAGUGACAAGGGUUGCGCUCGUUGCGGGACUUAACCCAACAUCUCACGACACGAGCUGACGACAGCCAUGCAGCACCUGUGUUCAGGCUCCCUUGCGGGCACGCUCUCAUUACAAGAGCUUCCUGACAUGUCAAGGGUAGGUAAGGUUUUUCGCGUUGCAUCGAAUUAAUCCACAUCAUCCACCGCUUGUGCGGGUCCCCGUCAAUUCCUUUGAGUUUUAGUCUUGCGACCGUACUUCCCAGGCGGUUAACUUCUCGCGUUGGCUGCGUUACUGAGAAUUUUACUUCCCAACAACUAGUUAACAUCGUUUAGGGCGUGGACUAC